This 322-nucleotide unclassified non-coding RNA is filed under the name uncultured fungus. RNAcentral's name for it is "partial contains 5.8S ribosomal RNA, internal transcribed spacer 2, and large subunit ribosomal RNA". The record is from RNAcentral. Lineage: Eukaryota; Fungi.
AACGCACAUUGCGCUUCCUGGUAUUCCGGGGAGCAUGCUCGUUUCAGAAUCAUUUAAAGCUCACAAACCGUUUGUGCUGUGGCACAUUGGGGCGUGGAUGUGAGUGUAUUUUUCUUUGCAAGAAGAAAAUCGCUUUGAAAUGAUUGUGUGUACGUCGAUGCUAUUGGUCGAUCCGCUCAGUGCAACAGAUAAUGGAACACUUUGUUGAUCAGCCUUUGGUCUAGAUGUAUGCAAUUCCAAUAAACACAGCUCCGAUUGCAAGUUUUGUGAUCGGCUCUGACAACUUGGUCUGAAAUCGAGCAAGAAAACCCGCUGAACUUAA